Molecule: ribosomal RNA, 1137 nt
Filed under: Triticum aestivum (bread wheat)
Lineage: Eukaryota; Viridiplantae; Streptophyta; Magnoliopsida; Poales; Poaceae
Description: partial small subunit ribosomal RNA
Source: RNAcentral
CCCUCUUCCAGAAAAUAAAAAUUUGUAAUUGAUGCUAGCGUGCAUGCAUCCGGUAGCUUCUAGCCGGUACAAGACCAAUUCCAUUUGGUUACAUUAAAUAAAAGCACCGACCGGCCAGCGCAACUCCUUCUCAUCCAUCUGCUCAUCUGCUUGCCUUAUCCUCAUCGCCACUCCUCCUUCUCACUCAACGCUACUCCUCCUCUUCUCCAACCACUACCACCCAGUGUUGCUCCUCCUCCUCUUCUACAUGUGUUGUGCCGACGAUGCACUCCACUCUCCCGGAGUGCGCGCGGCCGUGGUGGCUGGCCAGAGCCAGGGCAGCACCCCUUAUCGGCGAGGAACCCAUAGGCGCCAUGGAAGCUCCUCUGCCGUGGGUCUGAUCUGGCCAUCCCGCCCCAGUCAUCGGCCCGCUCCAGAUCCGGCCAGCAGCCUCGCCUCCAAUCCGUUUCGGACGGCCCCGCCCACAGCCUCCGCCACCUGCGACAUGCCCCCAGAGGCCCGGCCGAUCCCGCGGCGCUCAUCCUUGCUUCAUCCUUUGCUCGCGACUCACGUUGUCCGUCUCGCCCCGGCAUGCUCCAGGCCACCAACCGGAGCAUGUCCACGAAGUCCAGCCGGCCCUCUUCCCGGGCGCGCUCCUCGGCCGUUGCCGCGUGCUCCACCAACAGUUUCAUGUUGAGUCCGUCGAACAGGCGGUGCACCCGGCGCAGCUUGGCCUGCACUCCCUGCAGGUCUAGCCACGACAGCGCCGCUGAUGUUGAACUUCCCCGUUUCGGUUAGGAGCGACACGGUCAUCUCCUUGUAGGUUUGGUUCCCUUUACUUGAGGGUGGGCCCGGCGGCGGUGGCGCGCGUCGGAAGGCGAGGCCGGCGGCGGCGCACGCCGGAUGGGAGGCAAGGUCAUGGGUCUUGGGUGUUUUUUUCUUUUCUGUUGCCCGUACCAGUUCAGGUUGACUGGUUAAUAGGAUUGCGGGUUGAUUAUCAGUAAAGUCAGGGUGUUUUCUGUAAAAGUGGGCGACGGACGACACAAACCCAAUUCCAAACCAAACCAAGAAUAUCUAUUCCCUUUAAUAGUAGGUAUAGAUAUGAAUUUGUACAACUAAGCUUGUUUAGCUCGAUGGGUGGAGCAGUGCUAUUAUGAC